GGACUACUGGGGUAUCUAAUCCCGUUUGCUCCCCUAGCUUUCGCGCCUCAGCGUCAGAAAAGGUCCAGUCGUUCGCUUUCGCCACCGGCGUUCCUUCCAAUAUCAACGCAUUUCACCGCUCCACUGGAAGUUCCAACGACCCCUACCUCCCUCCAGCCGAUCCGUAUCCAAGGCCCUUUUCCGGUUAAGCCGAAAGAUUUCACCCCGGACGUGAUCGACCGCCUACGCGCCCUUUAAGCCCAGUGAUUCCGAACAACGUUUGCACGGUUCGUCUUACCGCGGCGGCUGGCAC
RNAcentral lists this ribosomal RNA (292 nucleotides) under uncultured bacterium. RNAcentral describes it as "partial 16S ribosomal RNA". RNAcentral also lists the same sequence under 2 other names. The record is from RNAcentral.